Molecule: small nuclear RNA, 104 nt
Organism: Mustela erminea (ermine)
Lineage: Eukaryota; Metazoa; Chordata; Mammalia; Carnivora; Mustelidae
Source: RefSeq, a predicted model, not a curated record
GUGCUCACUUCAGCAGCACAUAUACGAAAACUGGAAUGAUACAGAGAUUAGCAUGGCCCGUGCACAAGGAUGACAUGCAAAUUCGUGAAGUGUUCCAUAUUUUU